Molecule: long non-coding RNA, 870 nt
Organism: Daucus carota subsp. sativus
Lineage: Eukaryota; Viridiplantae; Streptophyta; Magnoliopsida; Apiales; Apiaceae
Exons: 3
Source: RefSeq, a predicted model, not a curated record
GCACCGGUAGAAGAGAAAUUGGCAUGGCUAUGAUUUCCAGUUUUAUACUCCUAUCAAAUGUUGAUUUACAGCUUCUUCUUUUUUUUUGAUGCCUAGGACUUGAGCGUUAGCUAGGAGACCUGUAGCAGGGGCUCUAUCCAUGCCCCAACUUUGGAUCUUUUGAGGAUUUAGAAAUUCUGCAUGUUGUUCACUGAUUUAGAAGUGCUGGACAGGAGGACCUGCAGUUAGGAUUGAUCUUGGGACCAUAUGUACUCAUGUGUUGGAUUUUGGAGAUGACACCAUCUCAUGUGGUUAUUGCGAGUGUUUUUAAUGAAGCUUAGCAAGGACAUUAAUUCUGAUGAGGCAGUUGCACUGGAUGUCGCUGCCAUAGCUGACACGAUGAUUAGUGACGAAGGUGGUGGAAUGAUUAAUGUGAUGCCACUGGAUAUUACUUCUGAAGACCUUAGUAGUGGGAAUUAGACUGUUCUAUCUCCAAAAAAUACAAGCUGUCCUUGACUUGGUAUUGAUCCAAGUGUUUCAGAUUAGGGUGCUGGUCCCUGGCAUAUGAUUGCCAGGGAGGGGUUAAGUAACACAUGGUUUUCUGGCUGUCGGAUGCAUAUCUAGCGGCCAGGAUUAUAACAUUUUUCUUAAGACGUCUAGCAGUUUUUAACCGCUAGACGCUAGACAGAUUUUCCCCUUCUAGCGGUUAAAAACCGCUAGACGUGUUAAAAUUUUGUUAUAAUCCUGGCCGCUGGAUAUGCAUCCAACGGCCAGAAAACCAUAUGCCAGUUAAUCAGUCCACAGCCAUCGAUGGCUGUGGACCAGGACCCUUCAGAUUAUGCCUUGUUACAAUAUGAAUGUGUAUUAUAUCGAAAAUAUAAUUACAGAUUA